This 521-nucleotide ribosomal RNA is filed under the name Staphylococcus sp. PB4. RNAcentral describes it as "bacterial SSU rRNA". It matches the Rfam family "Bacterial small subunit ribosomal RNA", at positions 379 to 891 of the family's 1533-position model. Lineage: Bacteria; Bacillati; Bacillota; Bacilli; Caryophanales; Staphylococcaceae. The record is from RNAcentral.
AAGCCUGACGGAGCAACGCCGCGUGAGUGAUGAAGGUCUUCGGAUCGUAAAACUCUGUUAUUAGGGAAGAACAAAUGUGUAAGUAACUAUGCACGUCUUGACGGUACCUAAUCAGAAAGCCACGGCUAACUACGUGCCAGCAGCCGCGGUAAUACGUAGGUGGCAAGCGUUAUCCGGAAUUAUUGGGCGUAAAGCGCGCGUAGGCGGUUUUUUAAGUCUGAUGUGAAAGCCCACGGCUCAACCGUGGAGGGUCAUUGGAAACUGGAAAACUUGAGUGCAGAAGAGGAAAGUGGAAUUCCAUGUGUAGCGGUGAAAUGCGCAGAGAUAUGGAGGAACACCAGUGGCGAAGGCGACUUUCUGGUCUGUAACUGACGCUGAUGUGCGAAAGCGUGGGGAUCAAACAGGAUUAGAUACCCUGGUAGUCCACGCCGUAAACGAUGAGUGCUAAGUGUUAGGGGGUUUCCGCCCCUUAGUGCUGCAGCUAACGCAUUAAGCACUCCGCCUGGGGAGUACGACCGCAA